This 195-nucleotide ribosomal RNA is filed under the name uncultured bacterium. RNAcentral describes it as "partial 16S ribosomal RNA". It matches the Rfam family "Bacterial small subunit ribosomal RNA", at positions 338 to 524 of the family's 1533-position model. The record is from RNAcentral.
CCUACGGGAGGCAGCAGUAGGGAAUCUUCCGCAAUAGACGAAAGUCUGACGGAGCAAUACCGCGUGAGUGAUGAAGGUCUUCGGAUCGUAAAACUCUGUUGUCGGGGAAGAACAAGUAUCGGCCUAAUACGCCGGUACCUUGACGGUACCUGAUUAGAAAGCCCCGGCUAACUACGUGCCAGCAGCCGCGGUAAU